GAUGAAGAACGCAGCGAAAUGCGAUACGUAAUGUGAAUUGCAGAAUUCAGUGAAUCAUCGAGUCUUUGAACGCACAUUGCGCCCCCUGGUAUUCCGGGGGGCAUGCCUGUCCGAGCGUCAUUGCUGCCCUCAAGCACGGCUUGUGUGUUGGGCCUCCGUCCUCCUCCCGGGGGACGGGCCCGAAAGGCAGCGGCGGCACCGCGUCCGGUCCUCGAGCGUAUGGGGCUUCGUCACCCGCUCUUGUAGGCCCGGUCGGCGCUUGCCGACACAUCAAUCUUUUUUCCAGGUUGACCUCGGAACAGGUAGGGAUACCCGCUGAACUUAAGCAUAUCAAUAAGCGGAGGA
RNAcentral lists this unclassified non-coding RNA (345 nucleotides) under soil metagenome. RNAcentral describes it as "partial contains 5.8S ribosomal RNA, internal transcribed spacer 2, and large subunit ribosomal RNA". The stretch from base 1 to 120 matches the Rfam family "5.8S ribosomal RNA", at positions 35 to 154 of the family's 154-position model. The record is from RNAcentral.